Panicum virgatum (switchgrass) is the source of this 327-nucleotide long non-coding RNA. RefSeq lists it as uncharacterized. The transcript is spliced from 3 exons. The record is from RefSeq and is a predicted model, not a curated record. Lineage: Eukaryota; Viridiplantae; Streptophyta; Magnoliopsida; Poales; Poaceae.
CCUGAUUACUACCCUUUUCUCCUGGAGUAACACAAGGAACUAGUUCUUCAAAUGAUCUUCAAGUGCAGCCAACGAAAGAUGCAGCGGAGGAUGUAGUCGAAUCUUUGAGAGUCCAUAAGCAGAAACCAACCAAAGAUGCACGGGGUCAAGGAACUGAUUUAUCAAGCAUUCCGAUUGAAGAAUCAUUGGAAGGUCAGUUUUAGGUAUCAUUGCUAAUGUUUAGAUAAAUGAUUCUGAAAGAGUUUGUAUUCUCACUGAUUGGAUAGUUACAUAGGGGAUUACAUAUAAAUAGGGAGAGAGGACCAAGGGUCCGAGGUGUGAACAGAC